AGGUAGUUGGUGGGGUAAGAGCCCACCAAGCCAAUGACGCCUAGCUGGUCUGAGAGGAUGAUCAGCCACACUGGAACUGAGACACGGUCCAGACUCCUACGGGAGGCAGCAGUGGGGAAUAUUGCACAAUGGAGGAAACUCUGAUGCAGCAACGCCGCGUGGAGGAUGACGCAUUUCGGUGUGUAAACUCCUUUUAUAUGGGAAGAUAAUGACGGUACCAUAUGAAUAAGCACCGGCUAACUCCGUGCCAGCAGCCGCGGUAAUACGGAGGGUGCAAGCGUUACUCGGAAUCACUGGGCGUAAAGCGCGCGCAGGCGGCCUUUUAAGUUGGAUGUGAAAGCCUACGGCUCAACCGUAGAACUGCAUCCAAAACUAUCAGGCUAGAGUGUGGGAGAGGAAGAUGGAAUUAGUUGUGUAGGGGUAAAAUCCGUAGAGAUAACUAGGAAUACCAAAAGCGAAGGCAAUCUUCUGGAACAUUACUGACGCUGAGGCGCGAAAGCGUGGGGAGCAAACAGGAUUAGAUACCCUGGUAGUCCACGCCCUAAACGAUGAAUGUUAGUCGUCGGGUAGCUAGUCUAUUCGGUGAUGCAGCCAACGCAUUAAACAUUCCGCCUGGGGAGUACGGUCGCAAGAUUAAAACUCAAAGGAAUAGACGGGGACCCGCACAAGUGGUGGAGCAUGUGGUUUAAUUCGAAAAUACGCGAAGAACCUUACCUAGCCUUGACAUAUAUUAGAACACCCUAGAGAUAGAGUGGUGCCUUCGGGAGCUUUUAUACAGGUGCUGCACGGCUGUCGUCAGCUCGUGUCGUGAGAUGUUGGGUUAAGUCCCGCAACGAGCGCAACCCUCGUCACUAGUUACUAACGGUUCGGCCGAGGACUCUAGUGAGACUGCCUUCGUAAGGAGGAGGAAGGUGAGGACGACGUCAAGUCAUCAUGGCCCUUACGGCUAGGGCAACACACGUGCUACAAUGGCCAGGACAAUGAGACGCGAUACCGCGAGGUGGAGCAAAUCUAUAAACCUGGUCUCAGUUCGGAUUGUAGUCUGCAACUCGACUACAUGAAGCUGGAAUCACUAGUAAUCGUAGAUCAGCUAUGCUACGGUGAAUACGUUCCCGGGUCUUGUACUCACCGCCCGUCACACCAUGGGAGUUGAUUUCACCCGAAGCGGGGAAGCUAAACUGGCUACCCUCCACGGUGGAAUCAG
Molecule: ribosomal RNA, 1204 nt
Filed under: metagenome
Description: bacterial SSU rRNA
Rfam family: Bacterial small subunit ribosomal RNA
Source: RNAcentral